RNAcentral lists this ribosomal RNA (223 nucleotides) under uncultured bacterium. Its description in RNAcentral is "partial 16S ribosomal RNA". It matches the Rfam family "Bacterial small subunit ribosomal RNA", at positions 127 to 334 of the family's 1533-position model. The record is from RNAcentral.
CGCCCUUCAGAGGGGGACAACAGUUGGAAACGACUGCUAAUACCGCAUACGAUCUAACCUCGGCAUCGAGGAAAGAUGAAAGGUGGCCCCUAUGUAUAAGCUAUCACUGAAGGAGGGGAUUGCGUCUGAUUAGCUAGUUGGAGGGGUAACGGCCCACCAAGGCGAUGAUCAGUAGCCGGUCUGAGAGGAUGAACGGCCACAUUGGGACUGAGACACGGCCCAG